Molecule: ribosomal RNA, 447 nt
Filed under: Pseudorhyssa alpestris
Lineage: Eukaryota; Metazoa; Arthropoda; Insecta; Hymenoptera; Ichneumonidae
Description: eukaryotic LSU rRNA
Source: RNAcentral
CCUGAGAAACCCAAAAGAUCGAAUGGGGAGAUUCAUCGUCAGCGGUACUGGUACGUGUGCGGUUCGCGAUGCCGGGGACUUCGGUCUCGUGGCACGCGUCCGCAUGUUUUUUUAUUGCCUGGUAUCGUCGGCGUGCACUUCUCCCCUAGUAGGACGUCGCGACCCGUUGGGUGUCGGUCUACGGCCCGGGUGGGUGCCUGUCUCGUGUGCGUCUUACGGCGUCACUGCGGGGCAGACCCCCGGCUGCCCGACCGGCUGCUCGGCGGUACUCGCAAGGUAUCUGGCCGCAAAUAUUCGAACUGCGUCCGGCCCGUCGCAAGCGAGGCAAGUGCUUCCCGAAUGUACGGAUCUAAUGCCGUCAUCGGGCCUGGCCAGCUGUUGGUUGACGGUGUCCUAGGACAGGCUAUAACAAUUAUGAUACCGGUCAGCGACGCUACUGCUUUGGUA